UACCUAUAUAUAAUCAAUAGCUACCUUCUGUUUAUGCUUAGUACAAGUACAAUUACUUAGUUAAUUAAAGCCCUUCUUCUUCUACCUUAUUUCCUAUCCUCUUAUUCCUGUUUUAGUGUCUUCUUUUAUUGUUUAAUUUAAUGGAUCAUAUUAUCCUUCAAUUUCUUGACAGAUAAUAAUUAUAAUUGAAGUGGGUACUGAUUUUUCUCUCACCAAUUUCUUGCUAUUGCUUUUGAACAAGCACUUGUUGAGUUUCUGAAGUGUUUUAGGUUGUUUGUGCAGUUUGUGACACUAAGCAGCCGGUAAGUAUUUUUCUUCCAACUUAUUUCUGGGAGAUGGACUAGACUGAAUUUGAUGCAUGAUUCCAGCUUGGGAUUGUUAAUAUUCUUGCUUUCUCAAUGAUGCUGAAUGAUUUUUUAAUCAAUCUGCAGAUAGAAAAACAACAGUUUCAUUGUGAUGAUUGCGGAAUCUGUAGGGUUGGUGGUCAAGAGAAUUAUUUCCACUGCGAGAAGUGUGGGUCAUGCUAUUCAGUUACACUGCGUGACAAUCAUGUGUGUGGAGAACUCCAU
Non-coding RNA from Arachis ipaensis, 569 nucleotides. NCBI's taxonomy places the organism in Eukaryota, Viridiplantae, Streptophyta, Magnoliopsida, Fabales, Fabaceae. The record is from RefSeq and is a predicted model, not a curated record.